This 3275-nucleotide unclassified non-coding RNA is filed under the name Hevea brasiliensis (rubber tree). Lineage: Eukaryota; Viridiplantae; Streptophyta; Magnoliopsida; Malpighiales; Euphorbiaceae. The record is from RNAcentral.
GCAGAGUUCUUAUAUAUUUUUGCUCCUUUUGAUGAGAUAAGUAUGAACCAGAUGUGCAUGAUGAUGUAAGAGGGGAGCCGCAUAAUUGGGUUGAUGGAGUAGUUAGAUCUGAGGGCAGAGGUGCAGUUGUCAGUUGUGAUACUAGCUCUAGCUGCAUGAUCAUUAGACCACAACAACAAAAGAAAGACCCUUCUCUUUUGACUAGGGAAGAGAUUGAGACACCUAAAAUUUGGGCUCAAAUUUGUAUCCAAAGAAUGAUUGAACUGGCAAAAGAGAGUACAACAAUGCGCCAAGUAUUAGAUCGAAUGUUUGUUUAUUUCGAUUCUGGGCGGCACUGGGUUCCUUUGCAAGGGUUGUCCAUAACAGUUUUGUCUGAUGUGUGCUACUUAUUGGAGAGUUCAGGUAUAAUGGUGGAAUUUUUAAUUAGGCAGCAUUUGCUACGCUGGCAAAUGAGAUUGGACAAUAAUUUUCUUUUUGGGUCCUGUCUUGUAUUGUUUUGUCUUGUCUAGUUUCAUUUUCAAUUUUUGUGGACCAAAUGCAGCCUUGUUGAUUGGUUUGUUCACCAUGUCUUGCUUAUGUGCAUUUCAUGCCUUGCCUUAGUCUGAAAAUAUUUCUCAAUGGUGCACAAUUGUACGUGUGUGCUUGCUAAUGCCUGUUUCAUUUCAGGACAUCAGCAGUUGGUAUUAGCUGCCGUUAUUCGUCAUCUGGACCACAAAAAUGUUGUGCAUGAUCUACAACUCAAGUCUAAUAUCAUACAAGUUGCUGCAGUUUUAGCUAGGCAAAUUAGAUCAGAAGUAGUGCUGGCUGAAAUUGGAUUUGUCAGUGACCUAUGCAGGCAUUUGCGAAAAAGUCUCCAGGCUACAGUUGAAUCUGUAGCAGAGCAAGAGUCAAAUUUGAAUGUCUUGCUUCAGAAUUCCAUUGAAGAUUUCUUACUGGAAAUUGCUAAAGGGAUUAGGGAUGCACGGCCACUUUUUGACAUGAUGGCCAUAACAUUGGAGAAUCUGCCAUCUUCUGGAGUUGUUGCCCAUUCAACCAUGGGAUCCUUGAUAGUUCUUGCUCAUAUGAUCUCAUUAUUGUCAGUAUCUUCUAGUUCACAGCAGGGUUUUCCAGAGGCACUUCUUGUCCAACUUUUGAAAGCAAUGCUGCAUCCAGAUGUUGGGGUGCGUGUUGGAGCACACCAGAUAUUUUCAAUGCUUCUCAUUCCAAGCUCUAAUCAUUCACGCCAUGGAGUUGUGUCUUUGCAUUCCGGUUAUAUUUGUGAACCAAGAAGAUGGCGUUCCAAUACUGCGUCUACAUUUUCGUCUAUUGCAGCUUUACUUGAAAAGCUUCGAAGAGAGAAGGAUGGUGCCAGAAUGGAAAAACAUAAAAGUAACAGUCUUGAUGAUUGCAGAGAAAGGGAAGUUAUAGAAGAAGAUUGGAAACAGGGUCAGCCUCAAAAAAAUUGCCCCAACUUUUACAAAAUAAGUUCUGUUAUUGACAGGACCUCUGGGACAACAAGCUUGGCUGAGGCGGAGCCAUGCAUUAUGAAACUCAGUGAGGAUCAAAUAGCACAAUUGCUGUCUGCCUUUUGGAUACAAGCCAAUCUUCCAGAUAAUUUGCCCUCAAAUAUUGAAGCUAUAGCUCAUUCUUUUAUGUUGACACUUAUUUCUUUACGAUUGAAGGUCGGAUUUUCAUAUAUAUAGAUGUUUUCCCCUCUUCCCCUUUCCCCAAUUACUUUUAUAUGGCCUCAAAUUGAGUAAAUGUGUAAUUUUACAUUGAAUGAAAGCAACCUUUGAUGUUUAGUGAAAGGAUUGAUCUCUCUAGUUUGUUUUGAAUGUUACUUGUUAACUGUCUUUAACAUAUGGGAAACAAUUUAAUGCUGGUGGGGUGCCUGAUCAAUCUCCAACUGUUUGCAUGCUUGUGCAUCUUUAUUUAUAACUGACGCCAGUUAUCAUUUCUCAAACUUAUGAUGUUGCAGAGCCCAAGUGAUGGCCUUGUGGUCCGCAUCUUUCAGCUAUCCCUAUCUCUCAGAAAUUUAUCCGUGGAACCUAACAAUGGUAUAGGUGAUUUAUUGAUACAACAUUCAAUUUUAUUUUGAGCAUAUGUACAAUUGACUUUUUUACCAUCCUUUGCAGGGACAUUACGCCCUGCAUGCCAGAGAUCAAUUUUUGUAUUAUCAACAGGCAUGUUGAUGUUUGCUGCUAAAAUAUAUCAAAUUCCUGAGUUGAAUGAUUUAGUCAAGUCAUUACUCCCAUAUGAUGUAUGUAUUUUCUGUUCUUGCUUAUUGUAAAGUUUAUCAAGUGAUGAAAGGAUAGGGUUGCUGCAUUUGUAGUAUAGAGCUCUCUUCUCUGUCAGUGAAAUGCAUGCCAUGGUCUACUUUUCACUUAAGUGGCCAUUCAUGGCCUGUAAGUAAAUAAAUAAAAGGAAGCUAGCAGAAAGAUUAAUUUUAUUGACAACACUACCGUUUUAUUAAAAAAUAUAUGUAUUAUAUUUAGUAUAUCUUCUCCUAUUUCAGGUUGAUCCUUAUCUCGGCAUUAGUGAUGACCUUCAAGUACAUGGAAAGCCUCAGGCAGAUGUGAGGGAAUAUGGAUCUGUUGCUGAUAAUCAACUAGCCUCAUCUUUACUCCUUGAGUUGAGGAGCAAAAUAUUUGAAUCUGAUAAGGUCAUAAUCGACACCUUAAUUCAGAGCCUAUCUAAUGCUACCAAGCUGGAGGUUGAUGACUUGGCAAGACAAUUGUCAGAACCAUUCACGCCUGAUGAUGCAUUUGUCUUCGGUCCUCAAUCAUUACUUGAUAUGGACCACAAGCAAAUGGUUUCCCAUUCUAAGGAAUCACUCUCCUUUGAUGAGGAUAUGCCAACAAGCUCGUUGAUUGAGGAUGACGCAUUUAGCGAAGCAUCAGUUGCAGACAUGUCUCGCUUCAUUCCCAAAAUGCCCUCAUCUCCUUCUGUUUCCCACAUUAUUGGCAUUGGGAAGCUUUUGGAAUCGGCACUCGAGGUAGCUGGUCAAGUGGCAGGAACAUCCAUCUCUACAUCACCUCUCCCAUACGACACCAUGGCAAAACAGUGUGAAGAUCUUGGCAAAGGCACAAGGAAGAAGCUUUCCAAUUGGUUAGCCCAUGAAACUCAUUAUGCUAGAGGAGCUGGCAAAUUUUUACCAGAAUUUCCUGCUAGUGGAUGCCCUGCGCUAGAGAAGAUUAUGCAAGGCGCUGUGAAGCCAAUGGACCCAUGCUUGGCUAUGAGGUUGCCUCCUGCUAGUCCUUUCGAUAACUUUCUUAAAGCAGCUGGAUGUUAGAAGA